RNAcentral lists this small RNA (58 nucleotides) under Saccharomyces cerevisiae (brewer's yeast). RNAcentral describes it as "ZOD1". The record is from RNAcentral. Lineage: Eukaryota; Fungi; Ascomycota; Saccharomycetes; Saccharomycetales; Saccharomycetaceae. RNAcentral also lists the same sequence under 1 other name.
GCUUCUUGUUACCCCUUUUGGCGCUUUGGAUAAGUAGUUCACUUAGCUAUUUUUUUUU